UACGUAGGGUGCGAGCGUUAAUCGGAUUUACUGGGCGUAAAGCGUGCGUAGGCGGUCCCCCAAGUCCGCUGUGAAAGCCCCGGGCUUAACCUGGGAAUGGCAGUGGAAACUAUGGGACUUGAAUCUGGCAGAGGGGGGUGGAAUGCCACGUGUAGCAGUGAAAUGCGUAGAGAUGUGGCGGAACACCGAUGGCGAAGGCAGCCCCCUGGGCUGAGAUUGACGCUCAGGCACGAAAGCGUGGGGAGCAAACAGG
This 253-nucleotide ribosomal RNA is filed under the name uncultured bacterium. Its description in RNAcentral is "partial 16S ribosomal RNA". It matches the Rfam family "Bacterial small subunit ribosomal RNA", at positions 524 to 776 of the family's 1533-position model. The record is from RNAcentral.